This 253-nucleotide ribosomal RNA is filed under the name uncultured prokaryote. RNAcentral's name for it is "partial 16S ribosomal RNA". It matches the Rfam family "Bacterial small subunit ribosomal RNA", at positions 525 to 777 of the family's 1533-position model. The record is from RNAcentral.
ACGUAGGGGGCGAGCGUUGUCCGGAUUCAUUGGGUGUAAAGAGCGCGUAGGCGGCUCGGAAAGUCGGAUGUGAAAACCCGAGGCUCAACCUCGAGCUUGCAUCCGAUACUGCCGGGCUUGAGGCAGGUAGGGGAGAUCGGAAUUCCUGGUGUAGCGGUGAAAUGCACAGAUAUCAGGAGGAACACCGGUGGCGAAGGCGGAUCUCUGGGCCUGUCCUGACGCUGAGGCGCGAAAGCUAGGGGAGCGAACAGGA